CUGCUUCAUUUUUAGGGAUAAUUACCAUGGCAUUCUCUCCUCCAGUUGAUAUGCAAGAGCCUACAUGCUUACUUUCAGGAAGACUCUUCUUAAAGUUCUGUGCUCCUUCAGGGUGAGGUGCUAGGUGAUAGAAUCUUGGAAUAAAGUCUUCAGCUGGUCUGGCCACCUUGGGAGGACUCCCUGUAGCACAUCCAGCACAUGCUGAAAAAAAUAUCUGUCAGUUGCCCUGAAACACUUUGGCAUGUCGCAGAAGAAGCUGGAGACUGUUGCUGAAGACAGAGAAUCCUGCUCUGCCCUGCUUAGUUUGCAAUCACUGUAGUCAUGAGCAGGAUCAAAAGUUCAGAAAAUGGAUUGAAGAGAGAUCUCGCAAUAUGUGACCACACAUUGAUGUCACAUAUCUGCUUUGGAAUACCAUAUUACUGCUAAACAGUCAUGUUAUUCAGAUCAUCAUAUAAAGUUAUAUUCCUCUUGACUGAAAUUGUUUUGAAAUACAACAUUAUAAAAACAUUUAUAACAUCAAUAAGAAACUUUGAGUUAAUGGUUUUGGUAAACAUAUUUAUAUCUGGAGUGGAGUGCAUUUGGUUAAGAUUUUUAGUAAUAUUAGUAAUAUAUAAGCUGAAUGAUACAUAGAAAUGUGUAGCUGUACCUAACAAGUCACUGGUUGAAGAGAAUAGGGCUGGGAUUCAUAGAUGAGCCUUGCACAUUUGAUCUUCACUAGCAUGCAUAAAUUCACUGUGGAUGGUGGCUGACAGCUAAGAAGAUAUACAUUAUGCACUGCCUUGGAAGGUAUUUAUGUAUUAUCGCAACCACGUUAUCUACUACUCAAUUCAUUUAUUUCACCCUGGCCAUAUUUUAUUCAUCUUUUUAACUUCUCUUAAAGCCUUUGAGUUACCUGAAUAAGAAAAUGUGUUUUAAUAUCAUUCUUUUAAAUUCUACUGUUCACCUCAGAUUAGCACCGAUAUUCACCUUCACUAUACCCUCUGGUUAUUUCAAGUCCGUAUAUUACGAGAUACAAGACAGAAAACUGUCUACUUUUACAGUCAUAGAUGGUAUGUCUAUCAUAACAAAAUUAAAAUCAUUCUUAUUGGUAUUUUCUCCAUUAACAUUUUUCUGAGAAGGGUUCAGUCCACACAUUCUUCCAGCCAAAAUGUCAGCAAAAACUUCAGACCAGUUUCUUCACAGGCAUGUAGACAUAUUUGCAGAAUAUGACAAAAUACUUCAUUUGAUGGAUAUUCAUUUAGUCAGAUAAUCAGACAAUUGUACUUCCCACUGAGAAUUCCGAUGCUAAUUAUAACACAUUGCAGAACGAAAAAAGAUCACCACUACAGACCACAAACAAACCAGUAUGUAUUAAACAUCAGCAGAAAGUAAUUUUUUUGCAAAGUGCUGCACUUUAUACAUUUCUGAUGCUGAAUUAUUCUAACCCUA
Molecule: long non-coding RNA, 1428 nt
Organism: Protopterus annectens (West African lungfish)
Lineage: Eukaryota; Metazoa; Chordata; Ceratodontiformes; Protopteridae
Exons: 4
Source: RefSeq, a predicted model, not a curated record